AUUUUAAUAGUUUAUGAAAAAUACCAAUUUGUGGCAUUGGAGAAGUAUAAUAAUACUUAAAGUA
RNAcentral lists this transfer RNA (64 nucleotides) under Maguimithrax spinosissimus. RNAcentral's name for it is "Damithrax spinosissimus tRNA-His". The record is from RNAcentral. Lineage: Eukaryota; Metazoa; Arthropoda; Malacostraca; Decapoda; Mithracidae.